RNAcentral lists this non-coding RNA (72 nucleotides) under unclassified sequences. Its description in RNAcentral is "Flavo-1 RNA". It matches the Rfam family "Flavo-1 RNA". RNAcentral also lists the same sequence under 1 other name. The record is from RNAcentral.
UUGCGUUAAGGAUUGCAGCGACAUCCUUUUUUGUUUUUCUCAAAAAAGAUACAGCGAAAAGCCUGACUUUAC